RNAcentral lists this transfer RNA (85 nucleotides) under Bacilli bacterium. RNAcentral describes it as "tRNA-Tyr". It matches the Rfam family "tRNA". From Rfam's summary of the family: Transfer RNA (tRNA) molecules are approximately 80 nucleotides in length. Their secondary structure includes four short double-helical elements and three loops (D, anti-codon, and T loops). The record is from RNAcentral. Lineage: Bacteria; Bacillati; Bacillota; Bacilli.
GGAGAGGUAGCGAAGAGGCUAAACGCGACAGACUGUAAAUCUGUUCUCUUUGAGUUCGAUGGUUCGAAUCCAUCUCUCUCCACCA